AGCGAACGCUGGCGGCAGGCCUAACACAUGCAAGUCGAACGAAUCCUUCGGGAUUAGUGGCGGACGGGUGAGUAACACGUGGGAACGUACCCUUUGGUUCGGAACAACUCAGGGAAACUUGAGCUAAUACCGGAUGUGCCCUUCGGGGGAAAGAUUUAUCGCCAUUGGAGCGGCCCGCGUCUGAUUAGCUAGUUGGUGAGGUAACGGCCCACCAAGGCGACGAUCAGUAGCUGGUCUGAGAGGAUGAUCAGCCACACUGGGACUGAGACACGGCCCAGACUCCUACGGGAGGCAGCAGUGGGGAAUCUUGCGCAAUGGGCGAAAGCCUGACGCAGCCAUGCCGCGUGAAUGAUGAAGGUCUUAGGAUUGUAAAAUUCUUUCAGCGGGGACGAUAAUGACGGUACCCGCAGAAGAAGCUCCGGCUAACUUCGUG
RNAcentral lists this ribosomal RNA (433 nucleotides) under uncultured bacterium. Its description in RNAcentral is "partial 16S ribosomal RNA". It matches the Rfam family "Bacterial small subunit ribosomal RNA", at positions 29 to 507 of the family's 1533-position model. The record is from RNAcentral.